RNAcentral lists this ribosomal RNA (253 nucleotides) under uncultured bacterium. RNAcentral describes it as "partial 16S ribosomal RNA". It matches the Rfam family "Bacterial small subunit ribosomal RNA", at positions 524 to 776 of the family's 1533-position model. The record is from RNAcentral.
UACGUAGGGUGCGAGCGUUGUCCGGAAUUAUUGGGCGUAAAGAGCUUGUAGGCGGUUUGUCGCGUCUGCCGUGAAAACCCGGGGCUCAACUCCGGGCUUGCGGGCGAUACGGGCAGGCUAGAGUUCGGUAGGGGAGACUGGAAUUCCUGGUGUAGCGGUGAAAUGCGCAGAUAUCAGGAGGAACACCGGUGGCGAAGGCGGGUCUCUGGGCCGAUACUGACGCUGAGGAGCGAAAGCGUGGGGAGCGAACAGG